AGUCUAUCUAUUUAUACCGAGCAUCUGGCCCCUUCACCACCUCCAACUCCCAAAACACCUACAAUCACACACACAUACCCACAGAAACUUACCCUCAAACAAAGUCUCUCUUUCACAGACACAGGAUUAUACAAUCAACUUAGCUAAAACUAAAGCCAGAAAAACACAUGAAGCACAGAAAUUUUUCUUCUUUUCUUCUCUUAAUCCUAAUGAUUCUCCUGCUCGCCUCCUCACAGAUAGCUGCUCGUUAUCUAGCAAGCCAAGGAGGAGAAGGAAAGCUAAUCAAUGUUUAUGCUGUAGCAGAUGAAAGUUCUUUUCUGAACAUGGAAACCACAGAAUCUAUUGAGAAGUUGAUGGGGCUGGAAGAAUGUGAAAAUGGAGAGAGAGAGUGCUUUAACAGAAGGGUUCUUGCAGAGGCUCACCUGGACUAUAUCUAUACUCAGCAUUAUAAGGGGCCUUAGAAGUUAUAAACAGGCAACAGUUUUUGAAUUCAAGAAGUCAAUAUUGUGCUGUAUGUAGAAAAAUGUCUUAGGAUUCUGUGUCCUUGUUGCAGUCCUCUUCCAGGCGGAGUAUGUGAACUCCCACAGAUCUUGAAGCUUGGAGCUGAGAAGUUAUGAUGAUGGCAUCUAUGUUUAAGACAUAUUUUAGUAUCAGUCAUCAUUAGUAGACGUUUUACACAGUUUCAAUGAAGACAGCUGGGAAGUGGAGCCUGAGGACGCUAUAUCUCUUUGGCUUUUCUUUUUCCUUUUGCUGGAUAAUGGACACCAUUUGCUAGCAUGCGUCAUAAGAGGCAUCUGCGAAUUUCCAAGUACUUCAAUUCUGUGGGCGAUCAAGAAACGCCAAAUACCGGAUGCAGAUUUAGGAAUCGUGCAAUAUUUAUGUAAUUGUGGCCUAAAUAAUUUUAAUUUGUGCCCUUAAAAAAAAUAAUACUUAGUUUUUCAUUA
Non-coding RNA from Coffea arabica (coffee), 944 nucleotides. The record is from RefSeq and is a predicted model, not a curated record. NCBI's taxonomy places the organism in Eukaryota, Viridiplantae, Streptophyta, Magnoliopsida, Gentianales, Rubiaceae.